Myotis daubentonii (Daubenton's bat) is the source of this 1448-nucleotide long non-coding RNA. RefSeq lists it as uncharacterized. The record is from RefSeq and is a predicted model, not a curated record. Lineage: Eukaryota; Metazoa; Chordata; Mammalia; Chiroptera; Vespertilionidae.
CGGGAGGAUGAGCUGAUAUCAUGAGCCGCUGGGAUGAGGCUCCUUUGAGAUGCAUGGGCACAUCCUUUUUCUCACCUCAUCCUCCUGGGCCCUCCAGGCUGACAGAUGCAGAGGAUGCCUCAUUUGAGACAGCUCUUCAAGACCCAACCUACCUGUCACUCUGGACAGCUGAAGUAAGACUUCUCUCUUCUCCUCCAGCUCAGCAUCCAGCUGAUGCUGCAACUGAGAGACUUUCUGCUGUAGCGGUUCUCCUCCACGCUCUUGGCUCCAGUGGGGAGGAUUACUGCUGUCCAGCAUGCUGAACCCGAGAAGUAAGGAGGGAGGGGGGAUUUGUCAGAUGGAUACUCAAAGGUGUUUGACAAAAUGUCUUUAUUACACAGUCUCAGCAUCUCCUGGGCCUAGUUCAUCAUUCACUGCCCUACAUGUUUUUGUCUGCCCCUGCUUUAUCUGUAACUGUCAGUUACCAACUGCCUUGGAACUUUGGGUCCUAUUGAGUUCUUUAGCAUCACUUCUGUUUAGGCCCCAAAUAGCCCACUGGGCAAACCACCCAAGUCGCAUCUAUUUCCCAAGGAACUCCUCUAGCAUGACGGCUUUCUUUAGUCGGGAAACUGUGUACCAGGACAUUCUCAGGCCUGCUGGAUUAAAAUGAGGAACAAAAUACUCCUCUUUUCCUCGCUCUAUUCCUCUAUCUACCAUCACCAGUGGCUAGUUUAGAGAAUACUUGCCUUUGAACUAAAAUAUACUACACUGAGCCCAGCUGGCGUGGCUCAGUGGUUGAAUAUCUACCUAUAAACCAGGAGGUCACGGUUCAAUUCCUGGUUAGGGCUCCAUCCCUCAUGGCGGGUGUGCAGAAGGCAGCCAAUCAAUGAUUCUCUCUCAUCAUGAUGUUUCUAUCCCUAUUUCCCUCUCCCUUCCUCUCUGAAAUCAAAAUAUUUAAAAAAAUUACUAGGAAGGCAGGAACUAGUAGUUUCAACUUUUCAGUGACUAUACCCUACAAACACCAUUGUAUGUAGCUGUCAGGGCAGACCAAUUUUGGGUUUGUUUGUUUGUUUUGUUACUCCUCAUCCAGUGAUAUUUUUACCAUUGAUUUUUAGUAAGAGAGGAAGAGAAGGGGGAGGGGGAGAGAGAAGUAAGCGAGAGAAACAUCAAUGUGAAAGAGACACCUUGAUUGGCUGCCUCACACAAGCGCUCCAACAGGAGCCAGGGAACAAACCUGCCACCCAGGUAGGUGCCCUUGACCAGGAAGCGAACCUGAGACCUUUAGGUUCUUGGGCUGACACUCUACCACUGAGCCACUCUGGCCAGGGCAGGGCAGACCCAUUUUGAAUGUAAACACACAUGGCCAGUCCUUAGUUGUUUACACAAGUGGAGUUAUAUUGACAAACUGUUAUUUCUGCUUAUGUCUUUUUUUCCUAUUUAUCACUUCAAUAAAUGUGGUCUAAAAACAA